This 253-nucleotide ribosomal RNA is filed under the name uncultured bacterium. Its description in RNAcentral is "partial 16S ribosomal RNA". It matches the Rfam family "Bacterial small subunit ribosomal RNA", at positions 524 to 776 of the family's 1533-position model. The record is from RNAcentral.
UACGUAGGUGGCAAGCGUUAUCCGGAUUUAUUGGGUGUAAAGGGCGUGUAGGCGGGAAUGCAAGUCAGAUGUGAAAACUCAGGGCUCAACCCUGAGCCUGCAUUUGAAACUGUGUUUCUUGAGUGUUGGAGAGGCAAUCGGAAUUCCGUGUGUAGCGGUGAAAUGCGUAGAUAUACGGAGGAACACCAGUGGCGAAGGCGGAUUGCUGGACAGUAACUGACGCUGAGGCGCGAAAGCGUGGGGAGCAAACAGG